RNAcentral lists this ribosomal RNA (430 nucleotides) under Acidobacteriota bacterium. RNAcentral's name for it is "Acidobacteria bacterium partial 16S ribosomal RNA". It matches the Rfam family "Bacterial small subunit ribosomal RNA", at positions 355 to 776 of the family's 1533-position model. The record is from RNAcentral. Lineage: Bacteria; Pseudomonadati; Acidobacteriota.
UGGGGAAUAUUGGACAGUGGGGGGAACCCUGAUCCAGCCAUGCCGCGUGUGUGAAGAAGGCCUUAUGGUUGUAAAGCACUUUAAGCGAGGAGGAGGCUCUCUUGGUUAAUACCCAAGAAGAGUGGACGUUACUCGCAGAAUAAGCACCGGCUAACUCUGUGCCAGCAGCCGCGGUAAUACAGAGGGUGCGAGCGUUAAUCGGAUUUACUGGGCGUAAAGCGUGCGUAGGCGGCUUUUUAAGUCGGAUGUGAAAUCCCCGAGCUUAACUUGGGAAUUGCAUUCGAUACUGGGAAGCUAGAGUAUGGGAGAGGAUGGUAGAAUUCCAGGUGUGGCGGUGAAAUGCGUAGAGAUCUGGAGGAAUACCGAUGGCGAAGGCAGCCAUCUGGCCUAAUACUGACGCUGAGGUACGAAAGCAUGGGGAGCAAACAGG